Molecule: non-coding RNA, 54 nt
Organism: Salmo salar (Atlantic salmon)
Lineage: Eukaryota; Metazoa; Chordata; Actinopteri; Salmoniformes; Salmonidae
Source: Rfam
UGCACCCAUGAUUGUAAGGUGCUUUGGAUAAAAGCAUCUGCAAAAUGACAUGUA